This 1991-nucleotide long non-coding RNA is filed under the name Mytilus galloprovincialis (Mediterranean mussel). The record is from RNAcentral. Lineage: Eukaryota; Metazoa; Mollusca; Bivalvia; Mytilida; Mytilidae.
CUUUCAUUUGAUAUGCGACAACCUUACCAUCUGAGAAAUUUGAAUUUUUGCACUAAAUGACCCCACUCUUCCACUUGGGAUGAAAAAGAGGUUUAAAAUUUUCAUUUUUAAGUAGAGUUUAUUGAGACCUUCAAUUUGAUAUAUCAGAUGACCCUAUUUCACAAAGUGCCAAAAAUGAUGCAAUAUCAACGAUAUAAAUAGAAGUUAUGAAACUUACAAAGUCGAUGCAAAACAUGAAAAUUUCAAAAUGAUUUUUUGGUGUUUUUUUCAAUGGAAUUCUUUUGGUAUUUGGUCAAACAUAUAACUAUGUUAACCUCUUCAAUUUCUUAAACAUUUUAAGUGGUAAGCUGUUGCUGAUUCAGAAAUACAUGCCGCGGCUCGCAAAAUUUCAAACUGCAUUAUCUCUGAAACGACAAUAGAUAUCUCAAAUCUGUUAAAUGGUAAAUGAUCUGCAGUUAAAGGACAACAUUAUAGAAAAAGAAUUGGGACAAUUUCAAAGUUCACCAAGGUCACAAUUAAUCAAAUAUAUGAUGCAAUACCAAACUUGAGAACCGGAAGUCGUUGAGACAUGGGACUAUCACCAUUCAACUCAGGACCACUUGCCCUUUCAAAUAUCACCAGUUCAAGGUCAUAGUAUAAUGUGAAGGUCAAGGUGAAAUUUCAUCAUGACCUGACAUUGACCUCAAAUUGAAGGUCUUGAAUUACUGAUCAUCUUUGCAGUUUAUAGUAGGUUGAUAUCUGUUACCUUUAAAAAGAUAUACACAAAAUACUAUACUUUUAAGAAUCAUCCCGUUGUAACUUUUGAACAGACGGUCGGACAUUUUUGGGCUUAUUAUAAAAAAUGUAGAGCUCGUCGAGAGGAACCUUUUAUACGCUGUAUGUAUGCAGCAAAGUCUUAUCGUUUUCCUAAUAUGUAAGCUUGAAAUUGCAGCGUAAUUUUAUUUUGCACUCUGUGACCUUUGACCUUGGGUGCAUAUUAAAGGUCACAUGAAUUUAAGAUUAUUGGUGAAGGUCCCAAGUCUCUACAACUUCCGGUUCUGGAAAUACAAUUUUUCUAAAAUUGUACACAAUUUUUCAAGGGUAAUAACUCCUUAUAAGGGUUAAUAACAAAAUGAUUGUAUAUGUUCAUUAACAUUGCCAUCUGUUCCUGUACAUGUUGCCGUUUUCAAAUCAAUUCUAUCUCUAAUACUUUUUGAGAAAAAUGCAAAGGAAAGAAAUUGCUUCAAGGGGAUAUAACUCUCAUAGGGGACGAUGCAAUCCUAUUCAACCUCAUAUGGUAAUACAUUAUGAUGAGAUCUACCUAUUGUCCAAAUAAGAUAAUGAUAUCUUGAAAAACAACGAGAGGGGGCCAUGUUGAAAAAAACUAAUAAAAGGGAGAUAACUUAUAAAGGGGAUGAUGAAAUCCUUAACAGGGUCAUCUGUUAUACCUCAUGAUGAGGUUUAUCGAUGGUCCAUGUUUGGUCUUGAUAACUUCAAAAGAAACAUAGGGAGGCCAUGCCAAAAAAAUGUUGGAAGAAAAAAAAGAAAAAAAAGAAAAAACAUUAGAAAAACAAUAAGGUCUUUCCUUACGUAGGGGAAAGACCUUAAAAACAGGAGAAAAACAAUAAGGUCUUUCCUCGCGGAGAGGAAAGACCUUAAAAAACAUACAACAACCCUACCUUAAAAGAACAUUUAUUUUUUGCACUCAACGACCCCAUCCAACCUAGUUUUGGGAGACGUCAAUUUGAAAUUUGAAAUGUACGCUUUAUGUUCUUUCAUUUGAUAUGCGACAACCUUACCAUCUGAGAAAUUUGAAUGUUUGCACUAAAUGACCCCACCCGUCCCCCUGGGAUGAAAAGGGGGUUAAAUUUUCAUUUUUAAGUAGAGUUUGUUAAGACCUUCAAUUUGAUAUAUCAGAUGACCCCAUUUGACAAAGUGCAAAUAAUGAUGCAAUAUCAACUAUAUAAAUAGAAGUUAUGAAACUUACAAAGUCAAUGCAAAACUUAAAAUUU